Molecule: ribosomal RNA, 460 nt
Filed under: uncultured bacterium
Lineage: Bacteria
Description: partial 16S ribosomal RNA
Rfam family: Bacterial small subunit ribosomal RNA
Source: RNAcentral
CCUACGGGGGACUGCAGUGAGGAAUAUUGGUCAAUGGGCGCGAGCCUGAACCAGCCAAGUCGCGUGAGGGAAGACGGCCCUAUGGGUUGUAAACCUCUUUUGCCGGGGAGCAACGGGCGCCACGCGUGGCGCCAGUGAGAGUACCCGGAGAAAAAGCAUCGGCUAACUCCGUGCCAGCAGCCGCGGUAAUACGGAGGAUGCGAGCGUUAUCCGGAUUUAUUGGGUUUAAAGGGUGCGUAGGCGGAUCGUUAAGUCAGUGGUCAAAUUGAGGGGCUCAACCCCUUCCCGCCAUUGAAACUGGCGCUCUUGAGUGGAAGAGAAGUAUGCGGAAUGCGUGGUGUAGCGGUGAAAUGCAUAGAUAUCACGCAGAACCCCGAUUGCGAAGGCAGCAUGCCGGCUUCCGACUGACGCUGAAGCACGAAAGCGUGGGGAUCGAACAGGAUUAGAUACCCGAGUAGUC